UCGGGGGUACACGAGCGGCGAACGGGUGAGUAACACGUGAGUAAUCUGCCCUUCACUUCGGGAUAAGCCUCGGAAACGGGGUCUAAUACCGGAUACGACACUUUUACGCAUGUAAUGGGUGUGGAAAGUUUUUUCGGUGGGGGAUGUGCUCGCGGCCUAUCAGCUUGUUGGUGGGGUAAUGGCCUACCAAGGCUUCGACGGGUAGCCGGCCUGAGAGGGUGACCGGCUACACUGGGACUGAGACACGGCCCAGACUCCUACGGGAGGCAGCAGUGGGGAAUAUUGGACAAUGGGCGGAAGCCUGAUCCAGCAACGCCGCGUGAGGGAUGACGGCCUUCGGGUUGUAAACCUCUUUCAGCGGGGACGAAACGCAAGUGACGGUACCCGCAGAAGAAGCACCGGCCAACUACGUGCCAGCAGCCGCGGUAAUACGUAGGGUGCGAGCGUUGUCCGGAAUUAUUGGGCGUAAAGGGCUCGUAGGCGGUUUGUCCGCGUCGGGAGUGAAAACGCCGGGCUUAACUCGGUGCUUGCUUUCGAUACGGGCAGACUAGAGGCAUGCAGGGGAGAACGGAAUUCCUGGUGUAGCGGUGAAAUGCGCAGAUAUCAGGAGGAACACCGGUGGCGAAGGCGGUUCUCUGGGCAUGUCCUGACGCUGAGGAGCGAAAGUGUGGGGAGCGAACAGGA
Molecule: ribosomal RNA, 684 nt
Filed under: uncultured Nocardioides sp.
Lineage: Bacteria; Bacillati; Actinomycetota; Actinomycetes; Propionibacteriales; Nocardioidaceae
Description: bacterial SSU rRNA
Rfam family: Bacterial small subunit ribosomal RNA
Source: RNAcentral